This 1352-nucleotide ribosomal RNA is filed under the name uncultured bacterium. RNAcentral's name for it is "bacterial SSU rRNA". It matches the Rfam family "Bacterial small subunit ribosomal RNA", at positions 28 to 1381 of the family's 1533-position model. The record is from RNAcentral.
AUUGAACGCUGGCGGCAUGCCUUACACAUGCAAGUCGAACGGUAACGGGUCCUUCGGGAUGCCGACGAGUGGCGAACGGGUGAGUAAUAUAUCGGAACGUGCCCAGUAGUGGGGGAUAACUGCUCGAAAGAGCAGCUAAUACCGCAUACGACCUGAGGGUGAAAGGGGGGGAUCGCAAGACCUCUCGCUAUUGGAGCGGCCGAUAUCAGAUUAGCUAGUUGGUGGGGUAAAGGCCUACCAAGGCAACGAUCUGUAGUUGGUCUGAGAGGACGACCAGCCACACUGGGACUGAGACACGGCCCAGACUCCUACGGGAGGCAGCAGUGGGGAAUUUUGGACAAUGGGCGCAAGCCUGAUCCAGCAAUGCCGCGUGCAGGAAGAAGGCCUUCGGGUUGUAAACUGCUUUUGUCAGGGAAGAAAUCUUCUGGGCUAAUACCCCGGGAGGAUGACGGUACCUGAAGAAUAAGCACCGGCUAACUACGUGCCAGCAGCCGCGGUAAUACGUAGGGUGCGAGCGUUAAUCGGAAUUACUGGGCGUAAAGCGUGCGCAGGCGGCUUUGCAAGACAGAUGUGAAAUCCCCGGGCUCAACCUGGGAACUGCAUUCGUGACUGCAAGGCUAGAGUACGGCAGAGGGGGAUGGAAUUCCGCGUGUAGCAGUGAAAUGCGUAGAUAUGCGGAGGAACACCAAUGGCGAAGGCAAUCCCCUGGGCCUGUACUGACGCUCAUGCACGAAAGCGUGGGGAGCAAACAGGAUUAGAUACCCUGGUAGUCCACGCCCUAAACGAUGUCAACUGGUUGUUGGACGGCUUGCUGUUCAGUAACGAAGCUAACGCGUGAAGUUGACCGCCUGGGGAGUACGGCCGCAAGGUCGAAACUCAAAGGAAUUGACGGGGACCCGCACAAGCGGUGGAUGAUGUGGUUUAAUUCGAUGCAACGCGAAAAACCUUACCUACCCUUGACAUGUCAAGAAUUCUGCAGAGAUGUGGAAGUGCUCGAAAGAGAACUUGAACACAGGUGCUGCAUGGCCGUCGUCAGCUCGUGUCGUGAGAUGUUGGGUUAAGUCCCGCAACGAGCGCAACCCUUGUCAUUAGUUGCUACGCAAGAGCACUCUAAUGAGACUGCCGGUGACAAACCGGAGGAAGGUGGGGAUGACGUCAGGUCCUCAUGGCCCUUAUGGGUAGGGCUACACACGUCAUACAAUGGCCGGUACAGAGGGCUGCCAACCCGCGAGGGGGAGCCAAUCCCAGAAAACCGGUCGUAGUCCGGAUCGUAGUCUGCAACUCGACUGCGUGAAGUCGGAAUCGCUAGUAAUCGCGGAUCAGCUUGCCGCGGUGAAUACGUUCCCGGGUCU